Molecule: ribosomal RNA, 253 nt
Filed under: uncultured bacterium
Lineage: Bacteria
Description: partial 16S ribosomal RNA
Rfam family: Bacterial small subunit ribosomal RNA
Source: RNAcentral
UACGGAGGGUGUGAGCGUUGUCCGGAAUCACUGGGCGUAAAGGGCGCGUAGGCGGCCCGGUAAGUAGGGGGUGAAAUCUUGCGGCUCAACCGCAAGGCUGCCUUCUAAACUGCCAGGCUCGAGCACAGUAGAGGCAGGUGGAAUUCCCGGUGUAGCGGUGGAAUGCGUAGAGAUCGGGAGGAACACCGAUGGCGAAGGCAGCUCGCUGGGACGGUACUGACGCUGAGGCGCGAAAGCGUGGGGAGCGAACAGG